AUGGACUUGACCUCGGGCUUCUUGGCCUCCUCCUUGGGCACGGUGACGGUGAGCACGCUGUUCUCCAUGGACGCCUUCACCUGCUCCGCCUUGGCGUUCUCCGGGAGCCGGAACCUGCGCAGGAACUUGCCGCUGCUGCGCUCCACGCGGUGCCAGGUGUCCGUCUUCUCCUCCUGCUCCUUGUUCCGCUCGCCGCUAUCUGGAGGAUGUUGCCGUCCUCCACCUCCACCUUCACCUCCUCCUUCUUCAGCCCCGGCACGUCCGCCUUGA
This 270-nucleotide ribosomal RNA is filed under the name Triticum aestivum (bread wheat). RNAcentral's name for it is "partial small subunit ribosomal RNA". The record is from RNAcentral. Lineage: Eukaryota; Viridiplantae; Streptophyta; Magnoliopsida; Poales; Poaceae.